RNAcentral lists this ribosomal RNA (538 nucleotides) under Massarinaceae sp. Fataf-3. RNAcentral's name for it is "eukaryotic LSU rRNA". The stretch from base 169 to 322 matches the Rfam family "5.8S ribosomal RNA". Lineage: Eukaryota; Fungi; Ascomycota; Dothideomycetes; Pleosporales; Massarinaceae. The record is from RNAcentral.
UCCGUAGGUGAACCUGCGGAAGGAUCAUUACACGAUUUCGGUUAACACCGUUUUCACCCUUUGUUUAUACGUACCACAUGUUUCCUCGGGGGGCUUGCCCCUCGUUAGGACACCCCAUAAACCUUUUUGUAAUAGCAGUUAGCGUCUGAAAACUAAGUUAAUUAUUAAAACUUUCAACAAUGGAUCUCUUGGUUCUGGCAUCGAUGAAGAACGCAGCGAAAUGCGAUAAGUAGUGUGAAUUGCAGAAUUCAGUGAAUCAUCGAAUCUUUGAACGCACAUUGCGCCCCUUGGUAUUCCAUGGGGCAUGCCUGUUCGAGCGUCAUUUGAACCCUCAAGCUUUGCUUGGUGUUGGGUGUUUGUCCCGCCUUUGCGUGUGGACUCGCCUUAAAGUCAUUGGCAGCCAUGUAAUUCGGCUUUGAGCGCAGCACAUUGCGAUCUCUCUGCUGGUACAUUGGCAUCCAGAAGCCUUUUUUUUACGCUUGACCUCGGAUCAAGGUAGGGAUACCCGCUGAACUUAAGCAUAUCAAUAAGCGGAGGA